RNAcentral lists this ribosomal RNA (458 nucleotides) under uncultured bacterium. RNAcentral describes it as "bacterial SSU rRNA". It matches the Rfam family "Bacterial small subunit ribosomal RNA", at positions 32 to 498 of the family's 1533-position model. The record is from RNAcentral.
AAUCAACGCUGGCGGCGUGCCUCAGACAUGCAAGUCGAACGAUUAAAGCUCUCUUCGGAGAGUGCAUAGAGUGGCGCACGGGUGAGUAACACGUAAGUAAUCUACCUUCGAGUGGGGAAUAACGUCCGGAAACGGACGCUAAUACCGCAUAAUGCAGCGGCAUCGCAAGAUGACAGUUGUUAAAGAAUUUAUUCGCUUGAAGAGGAGCUUGCGGCAGAUUAGCUAGUUGGUAAGGUAAUGGCUUACCAAGGCUACGAUCUGUAACCGGUCUAAGAGGACGGUCGGUCACACUGACACUGAAUAACGGGUCAGACUCCUACGGGAGGCAGCAGUCGGGAAUUUUGGGCAAUGGGCGAAAGCCUGACCCAGCAACGCCGCGUGAAGGAUGAAGUAUUUCGGUAUGUAAACUUCGAAAGAAUGGGAAGAAUCAAUGACGGUACCAUUUAUAAGGUCCGGCU